UGUUUUCAAAAUUAUCUGUCGUUAUAUUUUGGCCUUAGGAUGACUAGUUUACCAGUGUUGGAUGAUAUGACUCAACGCGAGUUAAGAGAAAUUUUUGAUAAUACAAAUUUUGGACGAAUGAUGAUGAAUGUUCCGUUUGAUUUACCAUUACUGCAAAUCGUGCUAAUGGCAACAUCGUCUGCUGAGCCGAAUUUGCUAGAGGUAAACAUAUUCCACUUGAGUGAAGGGUCGGCAUUUCGAUUAGGUUCUGCAAGUUGCAGGGAGCUUGAUUUGCAAAUUUUCACAAGAAUUAUUGAAUUUAACCAUAUCGAAGUAUUUGAAAGUAGACGGUACCUAAACGAUGAAGAAAUAUUAAAUGCGGGAACCGAUUUAGCACGACAAUUGGCGGAAUCCGAAAUCAACUAAAUCGAGGACCUAGCGAAACCAUCUCUCCAAAAGUUGAAAUACCGGUUUCAAACGUCAACCAUAUGAAAAAUUAUUUGAGAGACAACAUCAUGGAUAAAGGAGAAUAAGCAAGAUAUAUGCUUAGGUUAGAGAAAUGAGUUACUCUAGAGUUACUCUUCUAGGAACGGAUGUAUAAAAUAUGUGAUGAUGCGCAAAACAAAAUUGUGAUGGAACUAAGAAAAAAAAUGAAGUUGAAAAUGUAGAUGGAAUUGAUUAAUUAUUCCAAGAAAUAGUUUCUUUCUUUAAACAGGUAAAAAGUUAAAUGGCUAUGAGCUGAUAUAACAUACAAAAAAAUCUUAAGUUCGAUAAGAUCUUUCUGAUUAAGUUUAAUAAAAAUGCAGCAAAUUAUUUUUAAUAAUUGGAAGCUGGUUAGAAAAAAUUAUCUGAAACUUAAAGGAGGUUUAGUAAUUAUACUCCCAGAGUAGCCAGAACAUCUUUAUGACCUGAUGCUUGAUGUUAAAUACGUGAAAUAAUGAUUUUAUUUAUAAUUUAAUCGCAAUCUUCGAAAUAUCGCCACAAAAACGAUUUACUUAUCUUUUUUGAAGUGUUUAUAACAUUUUCAAAAAGUGAAAAUUGAGCUCAAAAUAUAAUUAAAGCAUAACCUUUUCAACCCUGGUGCAUAUAUUGAAGUCUUGGAAAAUCGUGAUAUGCAGGGGAUUCUAUUUACAAACCUUGGUUUACUGUGAUUAGAAAGCAAUGUAUUCUAUAACGUUGAAAAUAGCAUUUAAUGAAACACAAUGGUUGAUAUAGUAAAUGUGAACUAGCAUUAUCCUUUACUUACUUGGAAUUGAUGGAACUUAACGCAAUUGUCAUCGUUCUAAUAUAUUCCAGUUGGAGGUGUGCAUGAAGACAAGUGAAAAUCAGCCAUCAGUCAUGAAAAAUAUAAAAUCUUAUAUCCAUAAUACUGGUUACAGUAACAACCAAUCCGUUUUCAUCAACUCUCUGGAAACCUGCAGUUAGUUCUGCAAAAGUGGAGUGAAGUGAAGUGAAUUUACGUUGAAUUAGGGAAGGGCAAAUUAUGGAUUUUACUUAGUCCUAAUAUUCAUUCUAGCUUAAUACACCACCCCUUUACAUACGAAUGAAUUAAUAUAUUUUAAUAACUGACGAAGGUAUGAGAAAGGAGAAGAUUUAGGGCUAUGGAAAUAUAAAUAACUAAAUAAGCUUUGUUUAUAGUGCACUUUCAUCUAUAGUUUGUAGCAGAAAAAGCAUCUAAAGGUCUACCGUAACUUUAAUAUGUUAAAGUAUAAGAUAUAUAACACUUGACAUGCUGACAAAUCAAUUAUUCGUACAGAAUACUAAGUCAAGAUAGAAUAACUUCAAGAUUAAGCUAUAAGUUCAAGUAAUAAUAGCACUAGAUUUA
Long non-coding RNA from Teleopsis dalmanni, 1804 nucleotides. RefSeq lists it as uncharacterized. NCBI's taxonomy places the organism in Eukaryota, Metazoa, Arthropoda, Insecta, Diptera, Diopsidae. The transcript is spliced from 6 exons. The record is from RefSeq and is a predicted model, not a curated record.